UUCCGUAGGUGAACCUGCGGAGGGAUCAUUACCGAGUUUACAACUCCCAAACCCAAUGUGAACCAUACCAAACUGUUGCCUCGGCGGGGUCACGCCCCGGGUGCGUCGCAGCCCCGGAACCAGGCGCCCGCCGGAGGGACCAACCAAACUCUUUCUGUAGUCCCCUCGCGGACGUUAUUUCUUACAGCUCUGAGCAAAAAUUCAAAAUGAAUCAAAACUUUCAACAACGGAUCUCUUGGUUCUGGCAUCGAUGAAGAACGCAGCGAAAUGCGAUAAGUAAUGUGAAUUGCAGAAUUCAGUGAAUCAUCGAAUCUUUGAACGCACAUUGCGCCCGCCAGUAUUCUGGCGGGCAUGCCUGUCCGAGCGUCAUUUCAACCCUCGAACCCCUCCGGGGGGUCGGCGUUGGGGAUCGGGAACCCCUAAGACGGGAUCCCGGCCCCGAAAUACAGUGGCGGUCUCGCCGCAGCCUCUCCUGCGCAGUAGUUUGCACAACUCGCACCGGGAGCGCGGCGCGUCCACGUCCGUAAAACACCCAACUUCUGAAAUGUUGACCUCGGAUCAGGUAGGAAUACCCGCUGAACUUAAGCAUAUCAAUAAGCGGAGGAAA
RNAcentral lists this ribosomal RNA (607 nucleotides) under Trichoderma koningiopsis. Its description in RNAcentral is "eukaryotic LSU rRNA". The stretch from base 216 to 369 matches the Rfam family "5.8S ribosomal RNA". The record is from RNAcentral. Lineage: Eukaryota; Fungi; Ascomycota; Sordariomycetes; Hypocreales; Hypocreaceae.